GGUUAAUUUUCAAUUUUGUUGGGUAAAACAUAUCAACCAAACAUUUGUAUAAAAAUUGCUUGUUUGUCUUUUUUAACUCGUGUCGCUCGUAUUGUAAAAUUUACAACAAGAAAUCUGUGAGUAUAUGCUAACUUAACAUACAACAAGCGAGAAUUUUCCAUGUCUAUUUUUUACUGACAAGUCCCACAUCAAAUAUAUCAGUUCAUAGCUUUUGACCCAUACUAUCAUUUUAUGAUAGACAAUUUAUGGGGAGAAUACAACAUCAAAAAUGUCCAACCCUUACACUUAACAGCAACUAUGAAAUAUACAUGCCCCACGUCACGAAC
This 326-nucleotide long non-coding RNA is filed under the name Mytilus galloprovincialis (Mediterranean mussel). The record is from RNAcentral. Lineage: Eukaryota; Metazoa; Mollusca; Bivalvia; Mytilida; Mytilidae.